Molecule: RNA transcript, 1669 nt
Organism: Panicum hallii
Lineage: Eukaryota; Viridiplantae; Streptophyta; Magnoliopsida; Poales; Poaceae
Gene name: E3 ubiquitin-protein ligase SIRP1-like
Exons: 3
Source: RefSeq, a predicted model, not a curated record
CGGAAACUUGCCGGGCCUCGUGUCGACCCACUGAGGCACUGACCCAGGCCAGGCCCAAUCCGAAUUUCCGUGGUCCCAUAAAGAAACCAAACCGGAUGGGGCCGUCCGGGCCCAUAGAUCCGGCUAAAAAAAGGUUAAAAGAAAAGGGCCCCAUCCGCCACGGCGCCACCGCUGCCUCCCCUUCCCAAUGGCGGAGUUCGCCGGCGACGACCCCUUCGGCAUCGGCUUCGGGUUCGGCUUCGACUUCGAGGACGACGGCAACUACGACCCAUUCGACGACUACGGCGGCGACGGAGAUGAGUGCGAGGGACUAAUCGGCGGCCCCGUCGUCGCCGACGGCGACGGCGAGGAGUUCUGCAUCUCAGGUUUCGCCUUCCGCGACGGAGACGCCGAAGGGGCCGACGUCCUCAUGGGCGAGGACCACACGUCCCAGCUCUCCGACGAGGAUCCCAUUCUCGAAACCCUAGGCCGCUCCUUCGAUUCCGACGAGCGGGAGGCUGUCAUCGAGGAGGCUGCCGACGACGACGACGAUGGGAUCGGGCUUAUGCUGAGCGGAUUCAGCCUCGAUCCGCGGCUGGUCGUUGGAGGCUUCCAGACGCUGGUGGACACCGAUGAGGCGGUCACCAGCGACGACGAUAUGGGCGAGGGGGAAGGGCUCGUGCUGGGCGGGGUCGACCUCGUGGCGCCACGGGUCGUGCGGCCCGGCUGGAUGGUGAUGGGCGCCGCGGACACCGACGACGCCGACUUGAACCUUCUCGAGAUGAUCUCGGGGCACGUUGGGGAAGCCGCGCGGCGGCUGCCGGCGUCCCGCGCAGCGGUGGAGGGUUUACAGGAGGUUGUGCUCAGCGAAGAGGAGGCCUCGCACGGUUGUGCCGUGUGCAAGGAUUGCAUUGCGGCGGGGCUGAGUGUCCUAAGGCUCCCCUGCAAGCACUACUUCCAUGCAGAGUGCAUCAGGCCGUGGCUCGCCAUCAGGAACACUUGCCCCGUGUGCCGGUUUGAGCUCCCCACUGGUAAUGCUGAGUAUGAUCGGCGACAGAGCAGUACCCGUACUGCAUCCAUGGUCCAACAAGGGGCACCAGUGCAGGAGGGGAUAUAAACUUUGCUUACUCUGAUAGCGAAACCGGUGCCAAACUGUAUGCUGAUGUAGUUGGCAAAUCAUGAGUGGAGGCGCGAGCGCCGGCAAUGGAGCCAGAGUGGGUGCAGGAGAUGCAGCUGAAUGUUCAGGAGAAAAUAGACCUGAGCAAGGCGCAACUUGAGGCGGCAGCAGAGGACUGGCUACCGGAUGCUAACUAACUGGAUGCUGAACUGACCAACUGAAGUAGAUGGAACGUGUCACCGGUUCCUGUCAGCGGCACUAAGAAGAUGUUGUGCAGCGUUCAACAUUCACUGAUCACUAACUAUGUUUUUAUGGUAAUGUCAAGAAUUGUUCAGCCUCUGCAGCUUGAUCUGCUCAGUUUUAGUCCAAACUCACUAGCCUUUUCACCUUCUUAAUUUUGCAAAUUGUUUCAAAUCCUCUGAAGUUUUGUUUGGAAUACUGUGUUCCAAUGGGAUCGGUGCUGCCAGGGUCCAGCAGGAUCCGCAGUGCAAGAGAUCAGUUGGAACUCAUGAUUCAUUAAUUGACGUGAAAACAUUUCAAUUACCACAUGAAUGAGAGAGAGCUUACCCAUUA